RNAcentral lists this ribosomal RNA (614 nucleotides) under Staphylococcus aureus. RNAcentral describes it as "partial 23S ribosomal RNA". It matches the Rfam family "Bacterial large subunit ribosomal RNA", at positions 2282 to 2897 of the family's 2925-position model. Lineage: Bacteria; Bacillati; Bacillota; Bacilli; Caryophanales; Staphylococcaceae. The record is from RNAcentral.
GUCGCCUCCUAAAAGGUAACGGAGGCGCUCAAAGGUUCCCUCAGAAUGGUUGGAAAUCAUUCAUAGAGUGUAAAGGCAUAAGGGAGCUUGACUGCGAGACCUACAAGUCGAGCAGGGUCGAAAGACGGACUUAGUGAUCCGGUGGUUCCGCAUGGAAGGGCCAUCGCUCAACGGAUAAAAGCUACCCCGGGGAUAACAGGCUUAUCUCCCCCAAGAGUUCACAUCGACGGGGAGGUUUGGCACCUCGAUGUCGGCUCAUCGCAUCCUGGGGCUGUAGUCGGUCCCAAGGGUUGGGCUGUUCGCCCAUUAAAGCGGUACGCGAGCUGGGUUCAGAACGUCGUGAGACAGUUCGGUCCCUAUCCGUCGUGGGCGUAGGAAAUUUGAGAGGAGCUGUCCUUAGUACGAGAGGACCGGGAUGGACAUACCUCUGGUGUACCAGUUGUCGUGCCAACGGCAUAGCUGGGUAGCUAUGUGUGGACGGGAUAAGUGCUGAAAGCAUCUAAGCAUGAAGCCCCCCUCAAGAUGAGAUUUCCCAACUUCGGUUAUAAGAUCCCUCAAAGAUGAUGAGGUUAAUAGGUUCGAGGUGGAAGCAUGGUGACAUGUGGAGCUGACGA